ACUUAGGGCUCGUGAAUUUCUUUCAGCACGGUCUAAACAUGACAACCGGGAAGACGAGUCACUCACUGAAGCUUUGUCAUCACCCAACUCAGCGCCCAUGAACUGAAGACAUAAGAGAUAGAGGAAGAGGGGAAACAACAAUGUCAGAGAGCGAAUGGACUGCUGGGGAGAGAAACCACUCAGAUGUCCUCUCGUCUCAGUCUGUCACCUGUUCGUCCUCCAGGGGAACCUUGGGUUUGACAGCCAGGAUCAGAUCAGUACUCAAGAGGAUGAAGAAACACAGUGCGGACCACGGUAAAAGUGAUUGUUUAAUGGAAACUGGUCGGCUGCCUCUCCAAGGAGCAGCUCCGUGUGAGCUGCGAGCCGCUGCCCUCCUGGCUCUGAAUGGCUGGUUGGUCCUGCAGAGACGUGGCUCGUAACAAAGCCUCACCCACCUGCGUGGCUUGCCGUUCUCGUCAGGUGGGAUGACAGUGAUGUGGAUCUUGUGCGCAGUGCGGAGCAGCCUGGUCCUCUCCUCGGGGCUCAGGUGAACCAGCG
This is a long non-coding RNA of Cyclopterus lumpus (lumpfish), 537 nucleotides long. RefSeq lists it as uncharacterized. The record is from RefSeq and is a predicted model, not a curated record. The transcript is spliced from 4 exons. Lineage: Eukaryota; Metazoa; Chordata; Actinopteri; Perciformes; Cyclopteridae.